This 253-nucleotide ribosomal RNA is filed under the name uncultured bacterium. Its description in RNAcentral is "partial 16S ribosomal RNA". It matches the Rfam family "Bacterial small subunit ribosomal RNA", at positions 524 to 776 of the family's 1533-position model. The record is from RNAcentral.
UACGUAGGGGGCAAGCGUUGUCCGGAUUUAUUGGGCGUAAAGAGCGUGUAGGCGGCCAGGUAGGUCUGCUGUGAAAACUCGAGGCUUAACCUCGAGCUGUCGGCGGAAACCAUCUGGCUAGAGUCCGGAAGAGGUUGGUGGAAUUGCGAGUGUAGAGGUGAAAUUCGUAGAUAUUCGCAAGAACACCGGUGGCGAAGGCGGCCAACUGGUCCGGAUCUGACGCUGAGGCGCGAAAGCGUGGGGAGCAAACAGG